Molecule: unclassified non-coding RNA, 213 nt
Filed under: soil metagenome
Description: partial contains 5.8S ribosomal RNA, internal transcribed spacer 2, and large subunit ribosomal RNA
Source: RNAcentral
AACAUCGCGCACCUGCGGGAACCUGCGGAAGGAUCAUUACAGAGUUAUCCAACUCCCAAACCCAUGUGAACUUAUCUCUUUGUUGCCUCGGCGCAAGCUACCCGGGACCCAGCGCCCCGGGCGGCCCGCCGGCGGACAAACCAAAACUCUUGUUAUCUUAGUUGAUUAUCUGAGCGUCUUAUUUAAUAAGUCAAAACUUUUAACAACGGAUCU